CACAACACAAAGUUUAUUCAAAUCAGAAAACAGAUAAGCUUCAUGACAGGUGGUGAUGUUAUAAAAGGUAAUCUAUAUCAAGGGUUCAGUACAAAUUAGUCUCGGAGCCUGAUACAAUAUGCAAUUUAUUCUAAAGUACUGUAUCGUCAGUGUGAUAUUUUCCAAGGUAAGUCUGAAUCGUGAGUGGUCAGCACACAUGGUGGCUGCUAUCCGAUAGGGCAAUUCAACAGACACUGCUAAUUAGCAUACUAUAUAUUUAAAAAUGGACUUUUAUGGGGAAACUAGUGUCUUGUUAAUUGUCAUGAAAGGUUCUCGUGGGCAAAAUUAAAUGGAUUCAAGGCUGGCCAGAAUAGCUUUCAUGACUAGGGGGUAAGAAUCCAUGAACUCUCCUUCAGUCCCUAGCGACAGUGGCUGAGGCCUGUGUCUGUUGGUCCAGUCCACUUGCCAAUACAGGAGUAUUAUAGAAUCUUACCCCAGGAAUAUUGCUGCAUCUACCUCAAGAAAACCUUAUAUACAGGGUGUGGUCUCCUUAUAUACAAGGAGAGAGAGCUGGGACUCCAUCCAGCUUACAGAAGAGGAUGCUUCUGGGCUGGCUUCACUAUUAAAUGAAUAUGGAUCUCUUAUGUGUGAGGCAGAUUCCAAAUGCUGUCAGUCUAAUUUGGUAGAUUUAAGGGAGCAGCUCACUCACCAGCUCUGAUUGGUCACGUGACUGACCAAACGCAACCGGCUUGAUGACCUUUGAAAACGUUUCAAUUGUGUAAGGGAGAAAGGCUCUUUUAGAAAAUUCUUACAGGGGAAGUCUGUAAAAAUCGCAGUUGGUAAAUAAUGUUUAGACAAAGCUUCGUACCUACUGGGAACUCAAAAAGUAUGUAUGAAUGAGAGAGCAGCGAACUGAUGGUUUCUAUAGACAGAGGAGCCAACAUUCUACAGGCUACAUGCACUGUCUGCCAAGGACACAGUCAGAUGCUAGGUUCCCUGUGGUUAGUAAAGGCCUCCUUGAAGAGAAACAUCAUUAUCCAGGCCUGUGGAAAGCAGCCCCAGGCUGUGCACAUGCGGCCCACAUGGGUUUUCUUUCUUUUUUUUUUGUUUUGAGGAGAGUCUCACUGUGUCGCCCAGGCUGGAGUGCAGUGGCGCAAUCUCGGCUCACUGCAACCUCCGCCUCCCGGGUUCAAGCAAUUCUCUGCCUCAGCCUCCCGAGUAGCAGGAAUUACAGGCAUCUGCCACCAAGCCCAGCUAAUUUUCGUAUUUUUAGUAGAGAUGGGGUUUCACCAUCUUGGCCAGGCUGGUCCUGAACUAACCUCGUGAUCCACCCGCCUUGGCCUCCCAAAGUGCUGGGAUUACAGGCGUGAGCCACCACACCCGGCCCCACAUGGGUUUUCAAAUCAGCCAUGUGCAGCCCUCAUCCAUAUCUGUGCACUAUCUGUACAGCAAGUAAAGUUACCUGGGACAGUCAGACUUAAGGGUUCUUUUUAAUUGAUCUCUUUAGUUGCUGUAAAGUUAACUGACUUACUAAAGUUAACAUGAGGACUUGAGAGCAUUCUCCUUUGUGAUUUGAGGAACCCAUGUUAUUAGGCAUUACCCACCUAAUAGCAACCGACUAAAAUGUGACGUGGAGGUUCAGGAUCAACUUCUCUGAGACGAAUCGUCUUUCAAAACUUGAAUUUGCUAACCAAGUUGAGGAAGUGGCAACAAACAUCAAGUCACAUUUUAUUCGAGGUCUGCUGCAGGGUUCCUUAAAUAACGAAUGUAUGCAUUUAUAGAACACUGACAGAAAUGGGUUGAAAAACUACAGAAACCAAGAGGCAAGAGUACGAAUUAGAAACAAACGUUGUGUAAGCACAGUUGAAGCCGAUAAGCACAGGGAAUUAGAUUUUUAUACUAUUCAGAAAAACAGUCACUUGAAUUUGGCUUUGGAAUACCGUAAUGACUGACUCAGACAUAGCCAUGUUUAAUAGCACAGAAUUUCAUGACAUCGUCACAACCUGAAAGUCUGCAGACUGCUGCUCCAUCCUGCACUCUAACCCUAACCUCUACCCACUCCAGGCCAGGCAUAGGGUUUCAAUUACUGUUGAGGCUGAAAUGAGAUGAGAUGAGAGGCUCCUCCCCAGCCUCUUCCCUUCCACCUGCCCACCCCCAUCCCACUUCCGGUCUCAAGGAGAGAACUGUUUUAGUGUCUAGUUGAGCUUUAGAAAGAGCACAGAUAACCGUAACUGUUUUCCAGCAUGAACACCAACUUUCGCGUAUAAUUCUGGGAUAAUUUCGUACCUAGUGUUUUAAUUUUUUUUUUUUUUGAGACAGAGUCUUGCACCGUCGCCCGGGCUGGAGUGCAAUGGCGGCGUGAUCUCAGCUCACUGCAACCUCUGCCUCCCAGGUUCAAGCGAUUCUCCUGCCUCAGCCUCCCGAGUAGCUGGGAUUACAGGUGCCUGCCACCAUGCCCAGCUAACUUUUUGUAUUUUUUAGUAGAGAUGGGGUUUCACUAUGCUGGCCAAAAUGGUCUCAAACUCGACCUCGUGAUCCACCCGCCUCGGCCUCGCAAAGUGCUGGGAUUACAGGCGUGAGCCACCACGCUCAGCCGUGUUUUAAUUUUUACUGCACAUGAAACCAAUAUUGCAUGUGCCCCUUAAACUGUGCAUGCAAACUAAGAAACAGGCAUGUCAUAUAUAGUAAACACGGCUGCAGGGCUUCUCUACAAAACUGUUAAGAGCUUUUAGCACCCAUUCCUCCAUCACACUUAGUUUUUUACACAUGCCUGUAUCAGUAAGCCAUAUCAGACCCCACUUACAGUAGACUUAAUAUUGGUACUGAACACUGUUACAGGAAUCCCAUUCAAAAGAUUCUUUUCUGCAGCCACCUGCUACCGUAACCUCUCUAGUAUUCUCCUUCUACCCCCCAACCCACUUUGUCCUUAACUAGAGCUAUGAACUAUUGAUAUAUGUGCUUACCCCAACAUCCAUGGAGUAAAUAUAUAAAGCGUUAAUAUUUGCAGUGAGGAGCCUAGCUUUUUUCCUGGAAACUAAGGCUUGGACGUAUCAAGAGAACUCUGAACCUGUUACCCGUUCUUUUAACUGUGGCCCACAGACCGGAAAAAAACACAAAAGCCUUGGUGACCUUUGAAAAUCUGUCAGCAUAUUAUUGAAAUUUCUAAUAUUGAGAGGGAAAAUGGGGGGUGGGGAUAAUGGGCUGGAUUUUUUUUGUUACGUCUAUUAUUUCUAAUAGUGUAAUCUGCUAUCCUACUUCAUUUCUCUGGGGGCCACAGGGAGAGAAGUUUUCUCUUACUUUACCUGAGCCUAAUUAUAAGAAUCCACUACUUUGUUAGUAGCAAACCUAGGUUCUACUUCUGUGGAUUUUUUUUUUUUUAACAAAACAAUGCAAUAUAAAUACAAAGAUUUCACGGUAGCCAACCACAGAAAUUCUGUCUUAUGAUUGCAGCCAUACAAGGAAGCACAGUUAUUUCUACUUGUUCAGAGCUGAAAUUAAACUUCUUCCAGAGCACCUCGAGGGGAAAGAUUUAAAUGAUUUCUAAACAGGAAGUAAAGACAAGCACUGUAGAACAUUUAUAAACUUAUAUCCUAGACACUCAAAACUCAACGAAACAAAAAAUUCUCAAAAUUCAGGAUCUGGUCCUUAGAAAUUUGAAGGUGCUGCCAAAAUAAACAGUGGUAUAUUUUGAUUUUGUCUCCAUCAAAGUCUUUGCAAUUAAUUUUUAUUCAAUAGUACAUCCAGUAAUAAGAUUUUCAUUCAGAAACUAAAGAAAAAGGACACAAGAAUUUCAAGGGCUUGAAUAUAUUUUUAUAUUGAUAUUCUGUGUCGUUCUACCCUAAAAUAAUACAUUAUUGAUUACAUACAGGAUGAGGUGAGGUAUUUGUAAAAUAUCUGGUAAAAAAUAAUUAAUAUACAGUAUUCUACAUGAGAUGGAAUCUUAUGACUCCUUAGGUCUUCUGCAGUGUUAAAAGUGAUCAUCUAAAUUAAACUGCUCUGAAUGGACUUACAGUUGUUCCCUAAAACCAUGUUAAAAAAUGAAGGCUUUUACUGAUCUGUCUCAGCAAACUACAAAGC
This 4056-nucleotide long non-coding RNA is filed under the name Homo sapiens (human). RNAcentral's name for it is "HSALNT0034944". Lineage: Eukaryota; Metazoa; Chordata; Mammalia; Primates; Hominidae. The record is from RNAcentral.